Molecule: ribosomal RNA, 750 nt
Filed under: uncultured Actinomyces sp.
Lineage: Bacteria; Bacillati; Actinomycetota; Actinomycetes; Actinomycetales; Actinomycetaceae
Description: bacterial SSU rRNA
Rfam family: Bacterial small subunit ribosomal RNA
Source: RNAcentral
GACGAACGCUGGCGGCGUGCUUAACACAUGCAAGUCGAACGCUGAAGCCCAGCUUGCUGGGUGGAUGAGUGGCGAACGGGUGAGUAACACGUGAGUAACCUGCCCCCUUCUUUGGGAUAACGCCCGGAAACGGGUGCUAAUACUGGAUAUUCACUGGCCUUCGCAUGGGGGUUGGUGGAAAGGUUUUUUCUGGUGGGGGAUGGGCUCGCGGCCUAUCAGCUUGUUGGUGGGGUGAUGGCCUACCAAGGCUUUGACGGGUAGCCGGCCUGAGAGGGUGACCGGUCACAUUGGGACUGAGAUACGGCCCAGACUCCUACGGGAGGCAGCAGUGGGGAAUAUUGCACAAUGGGCGAAAGCCUGAUGCAGCGACGCCGCGUGAAGGAUGACGGCCUUCGGGUUGUAAACCUCUUUCGCUCAUGGUCAAGCCGCAACUGUGGUUGUGGUGAGGGUAGUGGGUAAAGAAGCGCCGGCUAACUACGUGCCAGCAGCCGCGGUAAUACGUAGGGCGCGAGCGUUGUCCGGAAUUAUUGGGCGUAAAGGGCUUGUAGGCGGUUGGUCGCGUCUGCCGUGAAAUCCUCUGGCUUAACUGGGGGCGUGCGGUGGGUACGGGCUGACUUGAGUGCGGUAGGGGAGACUGGAACUCCUGGUGUAGCGGUGGAAUGCGCAGAUAUCAGGAAGAACACCGGUGGCGAAGGCGGGUCUCUGGGCCGUUACUGACGCUGAGGAGCGAAAGCGUGGGGAGCGAACAGG